This 254-nucleotide ribosomal RNA is filed under the name uncultured bacterium. RNAcentral describes it as "partial 16S ribosomal RNA". It matches the Rfam family "Bacterial small subunit ribosomal RNA", at positions 524 to 776 of the family's 1533-position model. The record is from RNAcentral.
UACAGAGGUCUCAAGCGUUGUUCGGAUUCAUUGGGCGUAAAGGGUGCGUAGGCGGCGCGGUAAGUCGGGUGUGAAAUCUCGGAGCUUAACUCCGAAACUGCAUUCGAUACUGCCGUGCUUGAGGACUGGAGAGGAGACUGGAAUUUACGGUGUAGCGGUGAAAUGCGUAGAUAUCGUAAGGAAGACCAGUGGCGAAGGCGGGUCUCUGGACAGGUUCCUGACGCUGAGGCACGAAGGUCAGGGGAGCAAACGGG